This 253-nucleotide ribosomal RNA is filed under the name uncultured bacterium. RNAcentral's name for it is "partial 16S ribosomal RNA". It matches the Rfam family "Bacterial small subunit ribosomal RNA", at positions 524 to 776 of the family's 1533-position model. The record is from RNAcentral.
UACGGAGGGGGUUAGCGUUGUUCGGAAUUACUGGGCGUAAAGCGCGCGUAGGCGGACUGGAAAGUUGGGGGUGAAAUCCCGGGGCUCAACCCCGGAACGGCCUCCAAAACUAUCAGUCUAGAGUUCGAGAGAGGUGAGUGGAAUUCCGAGUGUAGAGGUGAAAUUCGUAGAUAUUCGGAGGAACACCAGUGGCGAAGGCGGCUCACUGGCUCGAUACUGACGCUGAGGUGCGAAAGUGUGGGGAGCAAACAGG